CAACCCUCGAGCCCCCGUCUUAGGGGGCCCGGCGUUGGGGUUCCACGCCUGGCGUGGUCCCUGAAAAUCAGCGGCGGACCCGUGGCGGCCCUUCCCUUGCGUAGUAGCUUACGCCUCGCAUCGGGAGCCCGCGGGCCUCUAGCCGUCAAAACCCCCUACAAGCCCGCCCCGCGCGGCACAA
Molecule: unclassified non-coding RNA, 181 nt
Filed under: uncultured Sordariomycetes
Lineage: Eukaryota; Fungi; Ascomycota; Sordariomycetes
Description: sequence contains ITS2
Source: RNAcentral